RNAcentral lists this ribosomal RNA (468 nucleotides) under uncultured bacterium. RNAcentral's name for it is "partial 16S ribosomal RNA". It matches the Rfam family "Bacterial small subunit ribosomal RNA", at positions 28 to 507 of the family's 1533-position model. The record is from RNAcentral.
GACGAACGCUGGCGGCGUGCUUAACACAUGCAAGUCGAACGGAAAGGCCCUGCUUUUGUGGGGUGCUCGAGUGGCGAACGGGUGAGUAACACGUGAGUAACCUGCCCUUGACUUUGGGAUAACUUCAGGAAACUGGGGCUAAUACCGGAUAGGAGCUCCUGCUGCAUGGUGGGGGUUGGAAAGUUUCGGCGGUUGGGGAUGGACUCGCGGCUUAUCAGCUUGUUGGUGGGGUAGUGGCUUACCAAGGCUUUGACGGGUAGCCGGCCUGAGAGGGUGGACGGGGACAUUGGGCCUAAGAUACGGCCCAGAAGCCUACGGGAGGCAGCGGUGGAGAGUAUUGCACAAUGGGCGGGAGCCUGAGGCAGAAACGCCGCGUGCGGGAUGACGGCCUUCGGGUUGUGAACCGAUUUCGCCUGUGACGAAGCGUGAGUGACGGUAAUGGGUAAAGAAGCACCGGCUAACUACGUG